UCCGUAGGCGGGCGACUAAGUCAGAGGUGAAAUCCCACAGCUUAACUGUGGAACUGCCUUUGGUACUGGUUGUCUUGAGUUAUAGUGAAGUAGAUAGAAUAUGUAGUGUAGCGGUGAAAUGCUUAGAUAUUACAUAGAAUACCGAUUGCGAAGGCAGUCUACUAACUAUAUACUGACGCUAAUGGACGAAAGCGUGGGGAGCGAACAGGAUUAGAUACCCUGGUAGUC
RNAcentral lists this ribosomal RNA (228 nucleotides) under uncultured bacterium. RNAcentral describes it as "partial 16S ribosomal RNA". It matches the Rfam family "Bacterial small subunit ribosomal RNA", at positions 568 to 795 of the family's 1533-position model. The record is from RNAcentral.